This is a long non-coding RNA of Pongo pygmaeus (Bornean orangutan), 1470 nucleotides long. RefSeq lists it as uncharacterized. The transcript has 2 exons. Lineage: Eukaryota; Metazoa; Chordata; Mammalia; Primates; Hominidae. The record is from RefSeq and is a predicted model, not a curated record.
AUGGGCCUGUGAUGAGAGUGCAGCCUGAGCGAUCUACACAAUGCCUUCAGGGUCGUUCUUCCAUCGUCCUGAAACAUUCAAGAGAAUGAAGCUGCUCCUUCAAUACUUUGCUUAGAUAUUUCUUCUGCCAAAUUUCAGGUUCAUCGCUGGCAAGUUCUGCCUUCCAGAAAACACUAGGACAUGAGCACAAUUCAGCCAAGUUCUCUGUCACAUUAUGACAAGCGUCACCUUUCCUCCAAUGUCCGAUAACGUGUUCUUCAUUGCCAUCUGAGGCUUCAUCUGAAUGAGUUUUCCCUUCUGUAUUUUUAUUUUUUAAAGAGACUGGGUCUCCCACUGUUGGCCAGGAUGGUCUUGAACUCUCAUCCUCAAACAAUCCUCCCGUCUUGGCCUCCCAAAGUGCUAAGAUUCCAGGCAUGAGACACCAUGCCCGACACCCUCCAUAUGCUACCAACAUUCUGUCCAGCUCUCCUCUUCUCAGCCCUCGCCAGAAUCACCCUUAACCAAGAGUCACAGGGAGAAGACAGCCACCCACACUUCAAGAGACAGGCCUGGAACAGAGCCUUCCUGCACAGCCUCAGAAGGGACUCACCCUGAUGCCACCUUGAUCUUGGACCCAUGGCCUCCAGUACUGUGAGACAGUAACAUUCUGUUGUUAAAGGUGCCCAGUCUGUGGUACUGUAAAACAGCCCUAGGAAACUAACACAGCCUGUUAGCCCACAGAUGGUGGAGAGAUGGAAUGCUCAGUGGAGCUCCAGGCUUACUGUCUACAGCUCCCAAAGUGCGCUACGGGACCCUUGGGUGGGUGAGGUAUGCAAGGUAAUUUUGGGUGGUGCAGGGUGAAAAAUUUCAAUUGACAUAAAAAUGUGUUUAUCUUACUGGGUAAAUCAGGGGUCCUCACCUGUUAGGAACCAGGCUGCACAGCAGGAGGUGAGCAGCCAGCCAGCAAGCAAAGCUUCAUCUGUAGAAACAGCCGCUCCCCAUCCCUCACAUUACUACAUGAGCUCUGCCACCUGUCACAUGAGUGGUGCCGUUACAUUCUCAUAGAAUCCAACUGUGAACUGAGCAUGCCAAGGAUCUAGAUUGCGUGCUCCUUAUGAGAACCCAAUGCCUGAUGAUCUGUGACUAUCUCCCAUCACCUCCUGAUGGGACCAUGUAGUUGCAGGAAAACAAGCUCAGGGCUCCCACUAAUUCUAUAUUAUGGUGAGUUGUGUAAUUAUUUCAUUAUAUAUUACAGUGAAAUAAUCAUAGAAAUAAAGCACACAAUAAAUGUAAUGGGCUUGAAUCAUCUCUGAAUCAUCCCUUCCCCUUCUCCCAGGUCCGUGGAAGAGCUGUCUUCAAGAAAACUGCUCUCUGGUGCCAAAAAGUUUGGGGACCGCUGGUGUAAAUGUUUCUAAUAGUUAAACAACAUAAACUUUACAUGCUAUGAAGAAUACAGGUUUAAAUGCUAAUAAAAAUAGGUGCAAAUGAAAA